This 253-nucleotide ribosomal RNA is filed under the name uncultured bacterium. Its description in RNAcentral is "partial 16S ribosomal RNA". It matches the Rfam family "Archaeal small subunit ribosomal RNA", at positions 474 to 727 of the family's 1478-position model. The record is from RNAcentral.
UACCAGCACCCCGAGUGGUCGGGACGAUUAUUGGGCCUAAAGCAUCCGUAGCCGGUCUUGCAAGUCUUCCGUUAAAUCCAGCUGCUUAACAGAUGGGCUGCGGAAGAUACUACAAGACUAGGAGGUGGGAGAGGCAAGCGGUACUCAGUGGGUAGGGGUAAAAUCCUCUGAUCCAUUGAAGACCACCAGUGGCGAAGGCGGCUUGCCAGAACGCGCUCGACGGUUAGGGAUGAAAGCUGGGGGAGCAAACCGG